Molecule: long non-coding RNA, 752 nt
Organism: Trachemys scripta elegans
Lineage: Eukaryota; Metazoa; Chordata; Testudines; Emydidae
Exons: 3
Source: RefSeq, a predicted model, not a curated record
GAAGAAAGCCACUUACAGCUUCAGUGUCUGUGCAUAUGAGUGGAGACUGGAAAUCAUAACUGAAAGCUCCAGCUAGGUACUUCUGGUGUCUUGUUGCUGAACUCCUUCAUUGGCAGUUGCACCCUGGGGUGGAGGCUUGUGGAUGAAGACACCAAGCCAGGUCAUCUCAUGUAGAUGGAUGCAUGGAGCAGACCCUCCAGGCACACAUCUCUUCUGUUCCACCUGCAAGGGUGACUCAGCCAUCUCUCCAUCCCCACCCUCCUUAGGACAUGCCAAGAUCUCCCUCUGUAAUCCAAGGCCUCUUCUGAGAAUAAAGACUGGGUGUGCAGGUCGCUACGAGAGAGAAAGAGAGAGAUGGUGCCGUAGGGGAAUUCCCUCUCCCUGCCACGCAGCCCCCUUUAUUUGUGAUGGUAUAUGAAGCCUGCGUGAGGCAGAGACCUUUGGCUGAUAGAGCCAGUGCCUGCUGAGUAAUACAUGAAAUGCCGUUUGGGUUUCCAAAACCAUCAGUCAGGAACCCUGCUCUGGACCACACAGCACACACUCAUCUGAGCUCACGGAGACAAUCAGGGAUCGGAAUUUCCCCUCCUUCUUUUUGUUCCGGUGGUGAGGAACCACAUUAUCAGGCUGAAGUUAAACCUUUUUGUGAGCUUGGCCAAGAGAUUGCAGCUCUGCAUUUCCAUGCACUGCCACAGGUGAACAGUGUCCGCGGAAGGAAUCAUUACAACAGGGCAACUUCCCCCCCGCCCCGCACU